UGAGCAAUCUGCCCUUCUCAUCGGAAUAAGCGUUAGAAACGACGUCUAAUGCCGAAUACGACCUCCUUUCGCAUGAUCUGAAGUGGAAAGCUCCGGCGGUGAAGGAUGAGCUCGCGGCCUAUCAGCUUGUUGGUGGUAAUAGCUCACCAAGGCGAUGACGGGUAGCCGGCCUGAGGAGGGGUGACCCGGCCACACGUGGGACUGACGACCACGGCCCAGACCUGUACGGGA
Molecule: ribosomal RNA, 231 nt
Filed under: uncultured bacterium
Lineage: Bacteria
Description: partial 16S ribosomal RNA
Rfam family: Bacterial small subunit ribosomal RNA
Source: RNAcentral